AAGACCUUGCGCUUUUGGAGCGGCCGAUGCCUGAUUAGCUUGUUGGUGAGGUAAAAGCUCACCAAGGCUUCGAUCAGUAGCUGGUCUGAGAGGACGACCAGCCACACUGGGACUGAGACACGGCCCAGACUCCUACGGGAGGCAGCAGUGGGGAAUUUUGGACAAUGGGGGCAACCCUGAUCCAGCCAUGCCGCGUGAGUGAAGAAGGCCUUCGGGUUGUAAAGCUCUUUCAGCCGGAACGAAACGGUCACGGCUAAUACCCGUGACUACUGACGGUACCGGAAGAAGAAGCACCGGCUAACUACGUGCCAGCAGCCGCGGUAAUACGUAGGGUGCGAGCGUUAAUCGGAAUUACUGGGCGUAAAGGGUGCGCAGGCGGUUUUGUAAGUCAGAUGUGAAAUCCCCGGGCUUAACCUGGGAACU
RNAcentral lists this ribosomal RNA (423 nucleotides) under uncultured bacterium. RNAcentral's name for it is "bacterial SSU rRNA". It matches the Rfam family "Bacterial small subunit ribosomal RNA", at positions 207 to 622 of the family's 1533-position model. The record is from RNAcentral.